ACAUUUGGAAGAGGCUGUGUGGCCACCUGGUCCCAGCAGACCCUAGAGAACAACCACAUUUGCUGCUGCUGGAACAAGGUCAUUAAGGGUGAAGCCUGGUGCCAGAUGUG
This 110-nucleotide ribosomal RNA is filed under the name Panthera pardus (leopard). Lineage: Eukaryota; Metazoa; Chordata; Mammalia; Carnivora; Felidae. RNAcentral also lists the same sequence under 1 other name. The record is from RNAcentral.